This 30-nucleotide non-coding RNA is filed under the name Mus musculus (house mouse). Lineage: Eukaryota; Metazoa; Chordata; Mammalia; Rodentia; Muridae. The record is from RNAcentral.
UAGCCUUAAAUUGUCCUAAAGUGACAACUA